Cyprinus carpio carpio is the source of this 2173-nucleotide long non-coding RNA. Lineage: Eukaryota; Metazoa; Chordata; Actinopteri; Cypriniformes; Cyprinidae. The record is from Ensembl.
UGAUUUCUUUUAUUAAUAUUCAUUUUUCAUGACUAAAAUAACAUUAUGCACAGUGAGAAGCCUACAGGUUACAAGCUUCACAUAUUAGAAAAAUAAUAAUAAUAAAAACAACACAUUUUUUUAAUGGCUCGUUGUCAAGGUUGUUUCAGAUCAACACCUGCAAGAGACCACUAGGUGUCACCGUUGAGACGGGUGUCGGAUUGAUUCGAAGCCUCGACACAAUAGCUGUGUCCCAAACUUAAGUGCGUGGACUCCGAAGUGCGCAUUUGAAGUGCGAAUGCAUCACAGUGGCGCGACGAAGGGUGUCCCAAACUGAAGUGUGUGGACUCCGAAGUGCGGAUGUGAAGUGCGAUUGCGUCACAGCGUCACGACGUAAGCUGUCCCAAAGUCAGAAUGCGCACUUCGAAGACCGCAUUUGAAGUGCGAAUGUGUCACCGCGGCGCGACGAAGGCUGACGAAUUUCGAAAGCGACUUCAAAUGUGCCCUUCAUUUCCCAUGGAAAUGGAGUGUACAUCUUAUGGACACUUCGCACCCUUCCAUAUCCCAGAAUCACUUGCGUGCAUAGGACGAAGGUGUUUAUAUUCAGAGGUAGGUGAGAGUUCUGUGGAGGACUUCACAUUGAAAUGCAUGGUUUAUUUGUGAAGUGUCCUGAGACAGGUGAGGGAGUGAGUGGACAGGGAGGACAUCAAACUCAAACAAAUACAUUCUUCAUUAGCCAAGAGAAAACAGUGGGGAAAAAAUGAGUACAUUACAGUUUUUCCAAUACAUUUUUUAAAUGUCAUAUUGUCAAUGAAACAACCUAAUUUCUGUAGUUUAUUUUUGUGACGCAAGUUAAAAAUUAAAUGCAUAAAUUGUAUACAUUAUUCAUUUUGUGUGUGUAAUUUAUUCGUAAAUAAGCCUGAGUACUUUCUGUACAUUUUGUAUUUUUGUUUUGCAUAUUCACAUGUGUAAAUAAAAGAAAAGUGCUUGUAUGCUGCAAGCUUAUAAUUUUUUUCACAAAACAUUCUUUUAUAUGUUUAUUUGUUUGUCCUGUAAAUACUUUUUUACACAUUAAAACAAAUUGUUCUAUACAUAAUAGAAAGUACCUUUUACAACCAUUUACAACAUAGCUCAGGUUUAACAUCAGAAAAACAACAUCAGUUUGAGCCCGGCCCUGCCUCCAUGUGUUCUGGGGUCUUCAGGAGGUCAAUCUCUUGGUGAAUGGCCAGCACCUCCGACUCGGAGGACAAUGUGGUGACAGUGGAACGAGGCACAUGUCAAACACUCUGGAGACCAUCUGUAUGAUGUACAGCUGGCAGACAGGAGAGAAACACCAGGAUCUGGAUCGUGGCACACCAUCACUGUUGCCGUUCACUUCCCAGUAGAUCCAGCAGCACUGUCAGGGCCAAAACCAUUAAAAACCAUUAAACACCUGUCCAGCGCUGGCACAUUCAGCUUUAUCCUGCAGUACAGGGGUCUGGUCUGAUUUAGGGAAAGAAGGAAAAGAGAAAUUGUUUAGAGCUAUGACAACAUAAUUAGUAAAGAAAUACUGACAUACUUUAGUAAACUACUUUUUGUAACUACUAAUACCAGACUGGGGAAAAACUACUACUCAUAAUAUUUAAAACCUUAGCUGAAGGGAUAGUUUACCCAAAAAUAUAAAUUACAAACCUGGAGCAACGGAAGGGCGAGUAAAUGAUUACAGGAUUUUCAUUUUUGGCUGAACUAUCCUUUAAGUAAAAGUAUUAUCUUGCAUACUCUAAUAUAAUUCAGGUAUUGAGAGUAAAAUUAAAGGUAUGUGCAGUAUUGUCUUGAAAAAGAGAAUUUGUCAGGAUGGUUUUACAUUAAUAAUACUGCUGCACUUCUGUGUAUGUUGCAGUUUACUUCUAAAUAUGUUCAAGGUUAUUACAUUUAAAGUUGCUGGACAUUAACCCUCUGGAGUCUAAGGGUAUUUUUGGGGCCUGGAGAAGUUUUGUCAUGCCCUGACAUUUGUGCUUUUUUCAGUUUCUUAUAAAUAUCUAAAUGGCUAAAGUCUAAUCUCACUGUAAUCAGCACAAACUGGGCUAUAAUAAUAUGUGAGCAGCAUGUAUGUACAUGAUUGUGUUUUUGAGAAAAAAAAUGUUAUGCGUGGUUAGUGAAAAACUAAAAAUGUUAAAUCACUUGAAUAAGGCAAUAAAACACAUACAGAAAAAUU